GAUGAACGCUAGCGGCAGGCUUAAUACAUGCAAGUCGUGGGGCAGCACAGAGUAGCAAUACUUGGGUGGCGACCGGCAAACGGGUGCGGAACACGUACGCAACCUUCCUUCAGGCGGGGAAUAGCCCCAGAGAAAUUUGGAUUAAUACCCCAUAAAAUUUUGAGAUGGCAUCAUCUUAUUAUUAAAGCUUCGGCACCUGAUGAUGGGCGUGCGGCUGAUUAGGUAGUUGGCGGGGUAACGGCCCACCAAGCCUACGAUCAGUAGCUGAUG
RNAcentral lists this ribosomal RNA (270 nucleotides) under uncultured bacterium. RNAcentral describes it as "partial 16S ribosomal RNA". It matches the Rfam family "Bacterial small subunit ribosomal RNA", at positions 28 to 292 of the family's 1533-position model. The record is from RNAcentral.